CCUACGGGAGGCAGCAGUGGGGAAUUUUGGACAAUGGGCGCAAGCCUGAUCCAGCAAUGCCGCGUGAGUGAAGAAGGCCUUCGGGUUGUAAAGCUCUUUUGUCAGGGAAGAAACGGUGUGGGCUAAUAUCCCGCACUAAUGACGGUACCUGAAGGAUAAGCACCGGCUAACUACGUGCCAGCAGCCGCGGUAAUACGUAGGGUGCAAGCGUUAAUCGGAAUUACUGGGCGUAAAGCGUGCGCAGGCGGUUUUGUAAGUUUGUCGUGAAAUCCCCGGGCUCAACCUGGGAAUGGCGAUGAAGACUGCAAGGCUAGAAUCUGGCAGAGGGGGGUAGAAUUCCACGUGUAGCAGUGAAAUGCGUAGAGAUGUGGAGGAACACCGAUGGCGAAGGCAGCCCCCUGGGUCAAGAUUGACGCUCAUGCACGAAAGCGUGGGGAGCAAACAGGAUUAGAUACCCUGGUAGUCCACGCCCUAAACGAUGUCUACUAGUUGUCGGGUUUUAAUUAACUUGGUAACGCAGCUAACGCGUGAAGUAGACCGCCUGGGGAUACGGUCGCAAGAUUAAAACUCAAAGGAAUUGACGG
RNAcentral lists this ribosomal RNA (584 nucleotides) under uncultured bacterium. Its description in RNAcentral is "bacterial SSU rRNA". It matches the Rfam family "Bacterial small subunit ribosomal RNA", at positions 338 to 916 of the family's 1533-position model. The record is from RNAcentral.